This 332-nucleotide ribosomal RNA is filed under the name uncultured bacterium. RNAcentral describes it as "bacterial SSU rRNA". It matches the Rfam family "Bacterial small subunit ribosomal RNA", at positions 29 to 361 of the family's 1533-position model. The record is from RNAcentral.
AUUGAACGCUGGCGGCAUGCUUUACACAUGCAAGUCGAACGGCAGCACGGGGCGAACCUGGUGGCGAGUGGCGAACGGGUGGAGUAAUACAUCGGAACGUGCCCAAUCGUGGGGGAUAACGUAGCGAAAGUUACGCUAAUACCGCAUACGAUCUACGGAUGAAAGCGGGGGAGUCGCAAGACCUCGCGCGAAUGGAGCGGCCGAUGUCAGAUUAGGUAGUUGGUGGGGUAAAGGCUCACCAAGCCGACGAUCUGUAGCUGGUCUGAGAGGACGACCAGCCACACUGGGACUGAGACACGGCCCAGACUCCUACGGGAGGCAGCAGUGGGGAA